AUUGAACGCUGGCGGCAUGCCUAACACAUGCAAGUCGAACGGGGGUAGCGAUACCCUAGUGGCGGACGGGUGAGGAAUGCGUAGGAAUCGGCCCACGAGUGGGGGACAACCUGGGGAAACUCAGGCUAAUACCGCAUGAGCUCGGGAGAGGAAAGCGGGGGAUCUUCGGACCUCGCGCUGGUGGACGAGCCUACGUCCGAUUAGCUGGUUGGUGAGGUAAAGGCUCACCAAGGCGACGAUCGGUAGCGGGUCUGAGAGGACGACCCGCCACACUGGGACUGAGACACGGCCCAGACUCCUACGGGAGGCAGCAGUGGGGAACAUUGGACAAUGGGCGCAAGCCUGAUCCAGCAAUGCCGCGUGGGUGAAGACGGCCUGCGGGUUGUAAAGCCCUUUAGGCGGGAGGAACGACCGGACGCUAACAUCGUCUGGAAGAGACGUUACCGCAGAAUAAGCACCGGCUAACUCCGUGCCAGCAGCCGCGGUAAU
RNAcentral lists this ribosomal RNA (489 nucleotides) under uncultured bacterium. RNAcentral's name for it is "bacterial SSU rRNA". It matches the Rfam family "Bacterial small subunit ribosomal RNA", at positions 29 to 524 of the family's 1533-position model. The record is from RNAcentral.